Molecule: long non-coding RNA, 1496 nt
Filed under: Heterocephalus glaber (naked mole-rat)
Lineage: Eukaryota; Metazoa; Chordata; Mammalia; Rodentia; Bathyergidae
Description: lncRNA (ENSHGLG00000041194.1)
Source: RNAcentral
AGAACAAAAUAAAAGAGAGGUAAUGGGCAGUAGGGAGAGAGAUCUUUCUCAAAGGGAAAGGGGAGGGAGAGAUAGAGGAGGGAGGGAAGGAGCCAGGGGAGGGAGAGGGAUGACAACGGCAGGUUUGUUACGUACAGUCCCUUCGCCACGGGAGGAGCGCAGUCACGAUGCACUGCAGACGUGGACGAAACGUGCAAACAGAGCGUCGCCCGGCAGGACUUUCAGACUUUCAGUUCCGUCCAGGAGGCCCUGUGCCGCUGGGGGGCGCUGUGGGAGUGAGGGCCCUAGAGGCCGGGUGCAGACGGAGUCCCUGGCCCUGGCCUGAUGGCCACAGUCCCGGUGUCUGUGGGGCCCAGCCGGGCGCCUCCGCUCCUCGGCCAGGCCUGCGGGGCAGAGGCCAGCGGCGUGCAGCGCUCCGGCCGCGCCCCGCCUCCCACCGCCUCUCCUCCGCGUGCCAGGGACCCGGCAUUCAACCCCCGCAGGAGGGCCCGGCUCCUCAGGCUGCGGUCACGGCUUACACCGGCUCCCGGAUGCUCAGUUUCCCCGAACGCAUGUCAGACGAGCACGCAAAACCCGGUGCAAAGAGCUAGAACUGCGUCACAGAAGUGGCUGCCUGCAGUGUGACGCGGGUUCGGGUUCGGGCUGAAGUUCGGGUUCGAGGUCAUCACAGAGCAGCAGCGGCCUGGCGAGUUUUAGUAAAUAGUCACAGGGCGCAGCUCAGAAACGAGGAGUGGCCCGAGCCCCCGUGGCCGCAGGACUGUUUGCGAGACUCGGCCUGUGUUCAGCUGGGCCCUGCCUUCUAAGCGCACAUUCACUCACGAACAGCAGUGGCUGAAUCCCCCGAUGAUACACCACCGCAUGACCACUUACCUCUCCAGGAGUCGCUCAUUCCAGUCAAGAAUGAUUCUUGCGAGAACUUCUGCCCCCAGUCCACUGAUCGCUUCCUUACAGCGAACACCUACCUAGCAGGCUUCCUGCCUCCUGAUCGCUUCUGCCCAGUUUCACUGUAGCAGCCACAGAUUCUGCUGGGACGCGGGGCUAUCCCCAUUACCCAUCUGCCUCCAGCCUCCAGGAAACUUUUCAUCUCACUCAAGCAAGAGCAAGUGUCCGUACAUUCUCCACCUCGCUCGCCAGUACCGCCCUCCCUCACCUCUCUGGUAGUCCUCUCUCCUCCUUCUAUUCUUGCCCUGGGCCAGGCCCUUUCUCCUGCUGUUGCUUUUGUCUUGAAAGCGUCUGGAGUUCAUCCAGGUUGUUCCCUCAUCCUCUCCCACAUUUAGUCAGACUUUCUCAGCCUGUUAACCCCACUGUCCAUCUUUUCCCUGAUUUAUUUUCUCCUUUUCACUUCAAUGAUUUAUCUAUUUGGCUCAUUUACCUGUUUUAUCCAUUACUAUAAAAUGUAAGACCCAUGAAAGCAGGCAUUUCUGUGUCUUGUUCACUGAUCAAUCAGCAAGAUUAUCCCAGUUCCUGGCCCAUGUUAGGUGCGAGGAAAGUAUUUG